Stegostoma tigrinum is the source of this 2575-nucleotide long non-coding RNA. RefSeq lists it as uncharacterized. The record is from RefSeq and is a predicted model, not a curated record. The transcript is spliced from 3 exons. NCBI's taxonomy places the organism in Eukaryota, Metazoa, Chordata, Chondrichthyes, Orectolobiformes, Stegostomatidae.
GGCGUGGUCAUCAGUUUCCUGAGCAAGGGGAAUUCGUGGAGGGAUAUGUUGAAAACCAGGAAUUCCCAUGCAUGACUGUGGUUAGCUUGAGCUAGGAUGGUCACGUUGUCCCACUUAAAUUGAUGGCCUGCAUUGUCCGAGUUCACUGAGAUUAAGUCUCCUCAGCAUUCUGGUGAUCCUGUUUGCUAGCUGCACUGUCUGCAAACACCAGCUAUCAGCAAAACGAUACAACAAACUUUCUCUCGUCAGUACACUUGGAUAAUGCAGGCCAUCAAUCUAAUUAGGAUGUGACCAUCCAAGCUCAAGCCAACUACAGAGACGCACGGGAAUUCUUAGAGGACUGGUUUUCAACCCAUAAUGCAAUCAACAAACAUGUGGAAUUAGAUCCCAUAUACAAACCCACGCAGAACAGAACCAGAAAUGACACAAACCAACUUAACAGACCACAUCAUAUAAAUACCAAGCAGAGUAGAACAACAUCACUUCAUUGGAGGCUGCACUGAUGUUACCUAGCAUGGUGAUGAAACGUCUGUACGGUAAUCAGCCAGCUCGGUGAGCAAGCCAAUAACCCCACAGAGGGUGGUGUUAAAGGGCUGCAUUUCAGACUACAGGCCUGUGACCAGUAGUGUGCCACAAGGAUCUGUGCUGGGUCCACUAUGUGAACACAGGAGGUAUGGUUAUUAAGUUUGCAGAUAAUACCAAAAUUGGAGGUGUGGUGGACAACGAAGAAGAUUACGUCACAGUAAAACGGGAUCUUGAUCAGAUGGGCCAAUGGGCUUAGGAGUGGCAGGUGGACUUUAAUUUAGAUAAAUGUGAGGUGCUGUAUUUUGAAAAGGCAAAUAAUAGGACUUACACACUGAAUCAGAAGAUUCUGGGAGUGUUGCUGAACAAAAAGACCUUGGAGUGCAGAUUCAUAGUUCCUUGAAAUUGGAGCCGCAGGUAGACAGGAUAGAGAAGAAGACAUUUGGUGUGCUUGCCUGUAUUGGUCAGUGUAUUGAGUAUAGGAGUUGGGAGGUCAUGUUGUAGUUUAACUUUUGGAAUACUCCGUGCAUUUCUGGUCUCCCUACGAUAGCAAGGAUGUUGUGAAAGUUGAAAGGGUUCAGAAAAGAUUUACAACAAUGUUGCCAGGGUUGGAGGGUUUGAUCUAUAGGGAGAGGCUCAAUAGGCUGGGGCUGUUUUCCCUGGAGCAUGGGAGGCCGAGGGGGUGAUCUUAUAGAGGUUAUAAAACAAGGAGAGGUGAGAAUAGGGUAGAUAGACAAGGUCUUUUCCCUGGGGUGGGGGUUCCAAAACUAGAGGACAUAGUUUUAAUGUGCGGGUGGAAAGAUUUAAAAGGAGAAAUUUUUUCAGAGGGCGUGGAAUGAACUGCCAGAGGAAGUAAUGAAUGCAGGUACAAUUACAACAUUUAAGAUAUUUGGACAGGUACAUGAAUAGGAAAAGUUUAGGUGAAUAUGGGACAAAUUUAAUUUGAUAAAGUUGGUCCACAUGGAUGAGUUGGACUGAAGGGUUUGUUUCCGCUCUGUAUGACUCUAUGUCUGAGGUCAUCCAAGAGGGAUGUGUAGAGUGAGGUGAAGAACUGGAAUAUAGCACUGGGAUUGCACCUUUGGAAACAGAGCAAAUACAAAGGGGCCAAAUGGCCUCUUCUGCACUGUAACCAUUUUGUGCAUGGUUCUAUCAAAAUACCAGAGAAGUGGGUAAACUUGAUUAAACUGAAUCUUUUCCAAAUGAUCCAAAAUUGUUGUUGUGGGUUUUUCCCAGUCCCAGCUUCGGUUCCAGUAACUAGGUUAACAGAAUUAUUACAUGGCAGGGGAAUUGAGUUUAAGACCUGUGAGGUUAUGCUGCAGCUCUACAAAACUUUGGUUAGACUACACUUGGAAUAUUGUGUUCAGUUCUGGUCACCUCAUUAUAGGAAAGAUGUGGAAGCUUUAAAGAGGGUGCAGAGGAGAUUUACCAGGAUGCUGUCUGGACUGGAGGGCAGGUCUUAAGAGGAAAGGUUGAGGGAGGUUCAGAUCGGUAUAACAUGUCGGCACAACGUCGAGGGCUGAAGGGCCUGUACUGUGCUGUUAUGUUCUAUGUUCUAUGUUCUAGCUAGGGGUUUUCCUCAUUGGAGCGAAGAAGGAUGAGAAGUGACUUGAUGGAGGUGUACAAAAUGAUGAGAGGCAUAGAUAGAAUGGACAGGCAGAGACUUUUUCCCAGGGCGGAAAUAACUAUUACUAGGCACAUAAUUUUAAGGUGAUUGGAGGAGGGUAUAGGAGAGAUGUCAGAGGUAGGUUCUUUACACAGAGUAGUGGGAGUGUGGAAUGCGCUGCCGGCUGUGAUUAGGGUAUGCAGGAUAGAUUGAUCUCAGUGGGAUAAUAGGUUGGCACAACAUCAUGGGCCAAAGGGCUAUACUGUUCUCUGUUCUAGAAGAUGGCCGUUCAGCCGAAUAUGGAACCAACCGAUCAUAAAUUGAAAACGUCUGAGAGAGUGCUGUGUAAUUUAUACCAGUCCCUAUGUGGGCACAGGGCCCUCUACACCCACAUCACAUACUCUCACCAGCUUUCAACUCGGAGAUUGUGAUAGCACUCGAUAACAUAAU